This 1646-nucleotide long non-coding RNA is filed under the name Homo sapiens (human). Its description in RNAcentral is "non-protein coding lnc-HSPA4-7:3". The record is from RNAcentral. Lineage: Eukaryota; Metazoa; Chordata; Mammalia; Primates; Hominidae.
GAGCGGUAUAGGCCUGAGCCUCUGGGCACUGCGGCCGCGUCCGGCAGGGCUGCCACGGCAGUACAGGGCCUGCACAUCCGGGAGCUCACGCCCUCCUGCGCGUAGCCCGCUAGUGAGGUUCCGAAGGGCGGGGCCGGGCCGAACCGGAUAUGCCGGUUCUGGGGCUCAGGUGACAAACCCAGGCCUUCCGCCCCUCGCCUCUGGUGGGGAUCCGGCCCAACCCGGAGCUUCCUAGACUUGCUUCCAGGUGUCGAAGCCUCGAGUCCUCAAGAGGUCCAGCAAAAAGGCAAAGGACGCAGGAGGCUGUUCGAUCUCGCUGUUGUCGCCCAGGCUGGAGUACAAUGGCGGGAUCUCGGCUCACUGCAACCUCCGCCUCCCGAGUUCAAGCGAUUCUAGUACCUCAGCCUCCGGAGUAGCUGGGAUUAAAGGGGGGAGCCACCACCUACGGCUAAUUUUUGUAUUUUUAAUAGAGACACGGUUUCACCAUGUUGGCCAGGCUGGUCUCGAACUCCUGACCUCAACCAAUCCACCCGCCUGGGCCUCCCAAAGUGUUGGGAUUACAGGCGUGAGCCACCGCACCCGGCCCACUAAUGUUUUUCUUCAGCAUAUCAUUCUGAACACUUCUUUCACCUCUAAACAUCUACUAUUUCUUUUAAGCUUCACUCUUUAUAUGCAUUUUCUCUAUAGAGCUAUAUAAAUUAGGAAAUGUCUUAAUAGAAAACUCAAAACAUGACAGAAUAAAAAAUAAUUGAUUCUCCCAUCUCUGUCUGUUAGCUGUUUCAGUCCUGGAAGGCAAUCACUUAGCAUUUAAUAAUGUAUCUUUCCCUACAUAUUUGUAAGUAAUACAUUAAAAUAUAGGGAUACUUCUUUUUACACAAAAGGUAACACACUAUAUACGCUGUUCAGUCCUUUUUUUCUCACUUCAAAUAUCUUGGAUAGGCUGGGCACAGUGGCUCAGGCCUAUGAUCCCAACACUUUAGGAGGCCGAGGGGGGCUGAUCGCUUGAGACCAGGAGUUUGAGACCAACCCCGGCAACAUGGCAAAACCCCAUCCCUAUGAAAAAUACAAAAAUUAGCCGGGCGUGGUGGUGCAUGCGUAUAGUCCCACCUACUCUGGAGACUGAGGUGGGAGGAUCACUUGAGCCUAGGAGGUCGGUGCUGCAGUGAGCCGGGAGCUUGCCAUCCAGCCUGGAUGAGAGUGAGACCCUGUCUCAAAAAAAGAAAAAAGAAAAAAAUGUCUUGGACAUCCUGCCAUAUCAGUAUAUAAUGAACUACCUUUUUCUUCCUAGAGGCAGAAUAAUAUUCCACUUAUGCAAACAUCCUAAUUUAUUUAACCAAUCCCCUACAGGUGGAUAUUCCGCUUGUUGCCAAGCCAUUACUAUUACAUGCUAAGCUGCAAUGAAUAACCUCAUACAAGACAGGGCAACAUAGUGAGACCCCAUCUCUACAAAAAAUAAAAAAUUAGCCGUUUGUGGUGGCACAGGCUUGUGGUCCUAACUACUAGAGAGGCUGAGGUGGGAGAAUCGUUUGUACCCAGGAGAUGAAGGCUGCAAUGAGCCCUAAUCGCACCACUGCACUCCAGUCUCAGUGACAGAGCAAGACCCUGUCUCAAAAAAGUUAAAAUAAUUAAAAACGAAAAACAACUCC